UGACAUGAAACACCCUGUAAGGACACAUGG
This 30-nucleotide non-coding RNA is filed under the name Mus musculus (house mouse). Lineage: Eukaryota; Metazoa; Chordata; Mammalia; Rodentia; Muridae. The record is from RNAcentral.